RNAcentral lists this ribosomal RNA (625 nucleotides) under Sarconesia chlorogaster. Its description in RNAcentral is "partial 12S ribosomal RNA". The stretch from base 384 to 455 matches the Rfam family "tRNA". Lineage: Eukaryota; Metazoa; Arthropoda; Insecta; Diptera; Calliphoridae. The record is from RNAcentral.
UAAAAAAUUUGGCGGUAUUUUAGUCUAUUCAGAGGAACCUGUUCUGUAAUCGAUAAUCCACGAUGGACCUUACUUAAGUUUGUAAUCAGUUUAUAUACCGUCGUUAUUAGAAUAUUUUAUAAGAAUGUUAAUUUUCAGAAUCUUUAAAAAGAGAAUAUAUCAGAUCAAGGUGUAGCUAAUAUUUAAGUAGAAAUGGGUUACAAUAAAUUUAUUUAAACGGAUAUAAAUUUGAAAUAUUUAUUGAAGGUGGAUUUGAUAGUAAAAUUAUAAAGAUUAAUAAUUUGAUUUUAGCUCUAAAAUAUGCACACAUCGCCCGUCACUCUUACUACUAAGGUAAGAUAAGUCGUAACAUAGUAGAUGUACUGGAAAGUGUACCUAGAAUGCAAUUUAAAGCUUAUUUAGUAAAGUAUUUCAUUUACAUUGAAAAGAUUUUUGUGCAAAUCAAUAUAAAUUGAUUAGAUUUUAUUUAUUAGAAUUUUUUUUUAAAAAUUUAAAUUAUUAAAAAUAAUUAUAAAAGGAAUUGUUUUAGUAUUUUAUAAAGAAAAAAUAAUAUUAAUUAUAGUGUAAUAGUAUUGUGAAAGAAAAUUGAAAUAAUUUGAAAAAUUUUUAUUAUAAAAGAAAAUUU